AUUGAACGCUGGCGGCAGGCCUAACACAUGCAAGUCGAGCGGAUGAAGGGAGCUUGCUCCUGGAUUCAGCUGCGGACGGGUGAGUAAUGCCUAGGAAUCUGCCUUGUAGUUGGGGAUAACGUCCGGAAACGGGCGCUAAUACCGCAUACGUCCUGAGGGAGAAAGUGGGGGAUCUUCGGACCUCACGCUAUCAGAUGAGCCUAGGUCGGAUUAGCUAGUUGGUGGGGUAAAGGCCUACCAAGGCGACGAUCCGUAACUGGUCUGAGAGGAUGAUCAGUCACACUGGAACUGAGACACGGUCCAGACUCCUACGGGAGGCAGCAGUGGGGAAUAUUGGACAAUGGGCGAAAGCCUGAUCCAGCCAUGCCGCGUGUGUGAAGAAGGUCUUCGGAUUGUAAAGCACUUUAAGUUGGGAGGAAGGGCAGUAAGUUAAUACCUUGCUGUUUUGACGUUACCAACAGAAUAAGCACCGGCUAACUUCGUG
This 484-nucleotide ribosomal RNA is filed under the name uncultured bacterium. RNAcentral's name for it is "partial 16S ribosomal RNA". It matches the Rfam family "Bacterial small subunit ribosomal RNA", at positions 30 to 507 of the family's 1533-position model. The record is from RNAcentral.